Molecule: non-coding RNA, 445 nt
Organism: Plectropomus leopardus (leopard coralgrouper)
Lineage: Eukaryota; Metazoa; Chordata; Actinopteri; Perciformes; Serranidae
Source: RefSeq, a predicted model, not a curated record
GGAGGAUGCUGCAUUGACACUCCAGAAGAAGCCGGGUUUGCAUAGAUCAUAUCAGGCUGUCAGUGUGGAGUAGUGCUGGAGGCUGCGGGGCGGCUGCGGGGAAGUUUCCUCAGAGUGCAGAGUGGCAGUCAUUCACAGAGAGACACUUGUGCAGAGAGCGGACUGGCGGCCUUUCACGGAAGGAUAUAAAACACACACCCCCACCUCUGUGCACGGGCGGGUUCGCUGUGGCUUAGGGAUUUGAAGAAGCUGGGCUCCUGGGGUUGGUGCUGGAGUGAUGGUGGUUGUGUGGCGGCCUCAGGAAUGGGCCUGGCAGGCGGUUCUCCUGGUGACCGGACUGGCAUCACUGAGUCGCGGGUCUGAUGCCAACAUGUUGGACACCAUGCUGCAGAAAAACGGAUGGAAGGGGGCUUCGCAGCAAAAGGCGGAGGAGGGCAGCAGCAGC